Molecule: transfer RNA, 57 nt
Filed under: Psilogramma menephron
Lineage: Eukaryota; Metazoa; Arthropoda; Insecta; Lepidoptera; Sphingidae
Description: tRNA-Ala
Source: RNAcentral
AGGAUUAUAGUUUAUAUAAAACAUUUGAUUUGCACUCAAAAAAUAUUGAAUUAAACA